UAAGGAAUAUUGGUCAAUGGACGCAAGUCUGAACCAGCCAUGCCGCGUGAAGGAUGAAGGUCCUCUGGAUUGUAAACUUCUUUUAUCUGGGACGAAAACGGGAUUUUUAUCUCAAUUGACGGUACCAGAGGAAUAAGCACCGGCUAACUCCGUGCCAGCAGCCGCGGUAAUACGGAGGGUGCAAGCGUUAUCCGGAUUCACUGGGUUUAAAGGGUGCGUAGGUGGGCAGGUAAGUCAGUGGUGAAAUCUCCGAGCUUAACUUGGAAACUGCCGUUGAUACUAUAGGUCUUGAAUUAUCUGGAGGUAAGCGGAAUAUGUCAUGUAGCGGUGAAAUGCUUAGAUAUGACAUAGAACACCAAUUGCGAAGGCAGCUUACUACAUAUAAAUUGACGCUGAGGCACGAAAGCGUGGGGAUCAAACA
This 421-nucleotide ribosomal RNA is filed under the name uncultured bacterium. RNAcentral's name for it is "bacterial SSU rRNA". It matches the Rfam family "Bacterial small subunit ribosomal RNA", at positions 355 to 774 of the family's 1533-position model. The record is from RNAcentral.